RNAcentral lists this long non-coding RNA (666 nucleotides) under Nicotiana benthamiana. RNAcentral's name for it is "long non-coding RNA (NBEN_LNC030412)". The record is from RNAcentral. Lineage: Eukaryota; Viridiplantae; Streptophyta; Magnoliopsida; Solanales; Solanaceae.
AAAGAUAAGUUAGCUCCUCGUGCUCUCAAGGGUGUCUUCCUUGGUUAUUCUCGUGUUCAGAAGGGCUAUCGUUGUUAUUCACCUGAUAUUCGUAGGUACCUUAUGUCAGCCGAUGUCUCAUUUUUUGAGUCUAAGCCUUUCUUUACCUCUUCUGACCAUUCUGACCAUCUGGCUAUAUCUGAAGUUUUACCUAUACCGGCCUUUAGGGGUGUUUUUGGGAGCACUUGUUUCGUUCAUAACUUAGCCUCUAGGAAAGAUAAGUUAGCUCCUUGUGCUCUCAAGUGUGUCUUCCUUGGUUAUUCUCGUGUUCAAAAGGGAUAUCGUUGUUACUCGCCUAAUCUUCCUAGGUGUUUUAUGUCCUCUGACGUCACAUUUUUUUAGUCUAAACCUUUCUUUACCUCUUCUGACCACCUUGAUAUAUCUGAGGUCUUACCUAUACCGACCUUUAAGGAGUCUACUAUAGCUCCUCUUUCACCUUCCGCCACAGAAGUCUUACUCGAGUCUACUAUAGCUCCUCCUUCCCCUUCCGCUACAGAAGUCUUACCCAUUCCAACUGUUGGAGAGUCUAGUGUGGCUCCUCCUCGACUCCCUGCCACAGGAACACCACUCUUGACAUAUAAUAGUCGUCCGUACCAGCAUCAAGCCCAGCUGAUUCACGUCUUGUAC